GAGUUUGAUCCUGGCUCAGGAUGAACGCUGGCGGCGUGCUUAACACAUGCAAGUCGAACGAGGUCCAUGGAGCUUGCUCCGGAAGAUCUAGUGGCGAACGGGUGCGUAGCACGUGAGAAACCUGCCCCGAUCUCUGGGAGUAACAGUUGGAACGAACUGCUAAUACCGGAGUGCCGUCCCACCGCUUCAUGGCGGAGUGACGAAGGAUUUAUUCGGAUCGGGAGGGUCUCGCGGCCUAUCAGCUAGUUGGAGAGGUAACGGCUCACCAAGGCAUCGACGGGUAGCUGGUCUGAGAGGAUGAUCAGCCACACUGGGACUGAGACACGGCCCAGACUCCUACGGGAGGCAGCAGUGGGGAAUCUUGCACAAUGGGCGAAAGCCUGAUGCAGCAACGCCGCGUGCGGGAAGAAGGCCCUAGGGUUGUAAACCGCUUUCAGUAGGGAAGAAAUGGCGGUACCUACAGAAGAAGGUGCGGCCAACUACGUGCCAGCAGCCGCAGU
Molecule: ribosomal RNA, 500 nt
Filed under: uncultured Actinomycetes bacterium
Lineage: Bacteria; Bacillati; Actinomycetota; Actinomycetes
Description: bacterial SSU rRNA
Rfam family: Bacterial small subunit ribosomal RNA
Source: RNAcentral